This 507-nucleotide ribosomal RNA is filed under the name uncultured bacterium. RNAcentral's name for it is "bacterial SSU rRNA". It matches the Rfam family "Bacterial small subunit ribosomal RNA", at positions 29 to 529 of the family's 1533-position model. The record is from RNAcentral.
AGCGAACGCUGGCGGCGUGCUUAACACAUGCAAGUCGAGUGCGCAGUUUCCUGUAGCAAUACAGAAAAUGGGCGCACGGCGCACGGGUGCGUAACACGUGGACAAUCUACCCUUUGAUGGGGAAUAACCCGCCGAAAGGCGGGCUAAUACCGCAUAACAUCCCAGUCGCUUCGGCGAUAGGGAUCAAAGCCCGCAAGGGCGUCAUUGGAGGAGUCCGCGGCCGAUUAGCUAGUUGGUGAGGUAAUGGCUCACCAAGGCUUGGAUCGGUAGCCGGUCUGAGAGGACGAUCGGCCACACUGGAACUGAGACACGGUCCAGACUCCUACGGGAGGCAGCAGUGGGGAAUCUUGCGCAAUGGGCGAAAGCCUGACGCAGCGACGCCGCGUGGGGGAUGAAGCUUCUCGGAGUGUAAACCCCUUUCGACCCGGACGAAUGACCCGCAAGGGUUUGACGGUACGGGGAGAAGAAGCCCGGCUAACUACGUGCCAGCAGCCGCGGUAAGACGUA